RNAcentral lists this long non-coding RNA (838 nucleotides) under Homo sapiens (human). Its description in RNAcentral is "non-protein coding LINC00630:4". Lineage: Eukaryota; Metazoa; Chordata; Mammalia; Primates; Hominidae. The record is from RNAcentral.
AGAACCGCCUUCAGGCGUUUGGACUCAGUGGAGGUUGUGAGUGCCCAGCAGUGUGGCCUGAAUCUCCGUGGGGUUUAGGGAGACGAAAGGACCCCAGAUCGACGUCCCCUCGUUCCCACUUUGGGGAUCGGCGCUCUGGCUGUUUCGUGAAGGAGAGAGAGGUUGAUUCCAUACCCUGGCUAUUGUGAAUAAUGCUGCAGUGAACAUGGGAGUACAUACAUCUGUUUGAGGAACUCAGAGUGGUUUUCCAGAUGGGAAUCACAUUGCUCUCUGUCCCUGAGAUCUUGCUGGAGACAGGGCUACUCAGUCCCUCUUUGCCAGGUAAUCUGUUCCAGAAGAAACAUGUGUCGUUCUGACUGAGCCCCUGCCUGUCUGUCACCUUAAGAGCCAGUCAAUUCAUAUGGUCCCCAUAUCAAAGUCUCCUGUGCCCAGAGAGAGGAUUUCAUUUCAACCAUCACCAUCACCACCAUCAUCAUCAUCACCAAGAGAUGUUGUUGAAUUGAUACUGGAAAAGCAGUUUCUAUUGAGCCCCCAAAUGAAGAGUGAGUGCAGAUGAAGAGGAGGCAGGACUCACAAGCCCUUGAACUUUAUUCCAGAUCUGUUAGCACCUACAGGACCCUGCACCAGGAUUUCAUCUGUACUAUCAGCUUCUUCAAAGAGAGAGAGGUUGUUGAAUUGAUAUUGGAAAAGCAGUUUCCCAUUGAGUCUCAAAUGAAGAGAGUGCAGAUGAAGAGGAGGUAGGAGUCACAAGCCCUUGACCCUCAUGCUAGACCCAUUACCACCCACAGGACCUUGCAGUGGGAUUUCAUCUGCACCAUCAGCUUCUUCAGAGAGAGAG